This 109-nucleotide microRNA precursor is filed under the name Microtus ochrogaster (prairie vole). Its description in RNAcentral is "miRNA (ENSMOCG00000010052.1)". Lineage: Eukaryota; Metazoa; Chordata; Mammalia; Rodentia; Cricetidae. The record is from RNAcentral.
UUUGUUCUGUACAUUUGCGUCUCUUCAUCUAAAUUUAUUUUUAGAAAGAACACUACUGGGGCUGGAGAGAUGGCUCAGUUGUUAAAGGCUAGGCUCACAACCAAAAAUA